RNAcentral lists this transfer RNA (71 nucleotides) under Naumannella halotolerans. Its description in RNAcentral is "Propionibacteriaceae bacterium WS4616 tRNA". It matches the Rfam family "tRNA". From Rfam's summary of the family: Transfer RNA (tRNA) molecules are approximately 80 nucleotides in length. Their secondary structure includes four short double-helical elements and three loops (D, anti-codon, and T loops). The record is from Rfam by way of RNAcentral. Lineage: Bacteria; Bacillati; Actinomycetota; Actinomycetes; Propionibacteriales; Propionibacteriaceae.
GCGGAUGUAGUUCAGUGGCAGAACACCGGCGUUCCACGUCGGGGACGCUUGUUCGAUUCAGGCCAUCCGCU